Molecule: ribosomal RNA, 453 nt
Filed under: uncultured bacterium
Lineage: Bacteria
Description: SSU rRNA
Rfam family: Bacterial small subunit ribosomal RNA
Source: RNAcentral
AGAACGAACGCUGGCGGCAUGCCUAACACAUGCAAGUCGAACGCUCUUGGUUUCGGCCAAGGGAGUGGCGCACGGGUGAGUAACGCGUGGGAACCUGCCCUGGAGUGGGGGAUAACCGAGGGAAACCUCGGCUAAUACCGCAUACGACCUGAGGGUGAAAGAUUUAUCGCUCUAGGAGGGGCCCGCGUCGGAUUAGCUAGUUGGUGAGGUAACGGCCCACCAAGGCUAUGAUCCGUAGCUGGUCUGAGAGGAUGAUCAGCCACACUGGGACUGAGACACGGCCCAGACUCCUACGGGAGGCAGCAGUGGGGAAUAUUGGACAAUGGGCGCAAGCCUGAUCCAGCAAUGCCGCGUGAGUGAUGAAGGCCUUAGGGUUGUAAAGCUCUUUCACACGCGACGAUGAUGACGGUAGCGUGAGAAGAAGCCCCGGCUAACGUUCGUGCCAGCAGCCGC